RNAcentral lists this ribosomal RNA (223 nucleotides) under uncultured bacterium. RNAcentral's name for it is "partial 16S ribosomal RNA". It matches the Rfam family "Bacterial small subunit ribosomal RNA", at positions 116 to 334 of the family's 1533-position model. The record is from RNAcentral.
CGUAGGUAACCUGCCUGGUAGCGGGGGAUAACUAUUGGAAACGAUAGCUAAUACCGCAUAAGAGUAGAUGUUGCAUGACAUUUGCUUAAAAGGUGCAAUUGCAUCACUACCAGAUGGACCUGCGUUGUAUUAGCUAGUUGGUGAGGUAACGGCUCACCGAGGCGACGAUACCUAGCCGACCUGAGAGGGUGAUCGGCCACACUGGGACUGAGACACGGCCCAG